Molecule: transfer RNA, 61 nt
Filed under: Exallonyx sp. ZJUH_2016014
Lineage: Eukaryota; Metazoa; Arthropoda; Insecta; Hymenoptera; Proctotrupidae
Description: tRNA-Val
Source: RNAcentral
AAAAUUUUAGUUUAUUUAAUAAAAUUUCUUAGUUACAUUAAGAAGAAUAAAUAAAAAUUUA